UACGGAGGAUGCGAGCGUUAUCCGGAUUUAUUGGGUUUAAAGGGUGCGCAGGCGGUCUGUUAAGUCAGCGGUCAAAGCCCGGGGCUCAACCCCGGCCCGCCGUUGAAACUGGCAGUCUCGAGUUGGAGAGAAGUAUGCGGAAUGCGCGGUGUAGCGGUGAAAUGCAUAGAUAUCGCGCAGAACUCCGAUGCGAAGGCAGCAUGGCCGGCUCC
Molecule: ribosomal RNA, 212 nt
Filed under: uncultured bacterium
Lineage: Bacteria
Description: partial 16S ribosomal RNA
Rfam family: Bacterial small subunit ribosomal RNA
Source: RNAcentral